RNAcentral lists this ribosomal RNA (274 nucleotides) under uncultured bacterium. Its description in RNAcentral is "partial 16S ribosomal RNA". It matches the Rfam family "Bacterial small subunit ribosomal RNA", at positions 523 to 796 of the family's 1533-position model. The record is from RNAcentral.
AUACGGAGGGGGCUAGCGUUGUUCGGAAUUACUGGGCGUAAAGCGCGCGUAGGCGGCUUAUCAAGUUAGGCGUGAAAGGCCUGGGCUCAACCCGGGAACUGCGCUUAAUACUGGUAGGCUUGAGUCCGGGAGAGGGUGGCGGAAUUCCCAGUGUAGAGGUGAAAUUCGUAGAUAUUGGGAAGAACACCAGUGGCGAAGGCGGCCACCUGGCCCGGUACUGACGCUGAGGUGCGAAAGCGUGGGGAGCAAACAGGAUUAGAUACCCCGGUAGUCC